UUGGAUUUCCUUUGGCAGGGUUCCCUUGUAUGGAAGUUCUCGGGAGAACAACACUCUCAGAGUCCCAUUGUCUCAAAGAAUUCUUAAUGGACAGGACAGAUUCCAAGCCUCUUGGAUAAGACUGAAGCCCUCCAUCACAGCCCAUCAAUCCGUUUCCUGGAGUUUGGAACCACAGCCAUGUGCCUCAUCAGUGUAAGACUGAGUCUCAGCUCUCACUUCAAGGAGGACUCAAGACAAGCAAAAGAAGUAAACUUUUGCUGGGUGCAGUGGCUCACACCUGUAAUCCCAGCACUUUGGGAGGCCAAGGCGGGUGGAUUACUUGAGGUCAGCAGUUUGAGACCAACCUGACCAACAUGAUGAAAUGUUGUCUGUACAAACAUUUCAUCAUAUGUUGUCUGUACAAAAUACAAAAAUUAGGCUGGGCGCCAUGGCUCAUCCCUGUAAUCCCAGUACUUUGGGAGACCAAGGCGGGUGGAUCACCUGAGGUCAGAAGUUUGAGACCAGCCUGGGCAACAGAAUGAAACCCCAUCUCUACUAAAAAUAGAAAAAUAAACUGGGUGUGGUGGCG
This 568-nucleotide non-coding RNA is filed under the name Pongo abelii (Sumatran orangutan). The record is from RNAcentral. Lineage: Eukaryota; Metazoa; Chordata; Mammalia; Primates; Hominidae.